GACGAACGCUGGCGGCGUGCUUAACACAUGCAAGUCGAACGGAAAGGCCCUGCUUUUGUGGGGUGCUCGAGUGGCGAACGGGUGAGUAACACGUGAGUAACCUGCCCUUGACUUUGGGAUAACUUCAGGAAACUGGGGCUAAUACCGGAUAGGAGCUCCUGCUGCAUGGUGGGGGUUGGAAAGUUUCGGCGGUUGGGGAUGGACUCGCGGCUUAUCAGCUUGUUGGUGGGGUAGUGGCUUACCAAGGCUUUGACGGGUAGCCGGCCUGAGAGGGUGACCGGCCACAUUGGGGCUGAGAUACGGCCCAGACUCCUACGGGAGGCAGCAGUGGGGAAUAUUGCACAAUGGGCGGAAGCCUGAUGCAGCAACGCCGCGUGCGGGAUGACGGCCUUCGGGCUGUAAACCGCUUUCGCCUGUGACGAAGCGUGAGUGACGGUAAUGGGUAAAGAAGCACCGGCUAACUACGUG
This 468-nucleotide ribosomal RNA is filed under the name uncultured bacterium. RNAcentral's name for it is "partial 16S ribosomal RNA". It matches the Rfam family "Bacterial small subunit ribosomal RNA", at positions 28 to 507 of the family's 1533-position model. The record is from RNAcentral.